CUGGGUGAUGACUCCAAGGCGAAUGCGACCUCCGUGCCUACUGCUCCUGGCUCCCAGGAGGGUGGGGGGAGGCCAGAGGGAUUGCAGGAAUGGGGGUCUGGAGUCUUGGUGGGGGUGCCGGAGGCCUGGGCCCCUGCUGUAAAACCAGACCAACAGAAUUGCUCAGGCCCCUUGGCUCCCAGUGGCUGCCUCCAGCCCUGGCAGCUAUACCGAGCAGGGGCCCACAGGUGGGGUCAGGGCAAAAGCAGAGGCACUGGCUGCGUCUGAGCGCAAACCCCUAGAUCUGACA
Small nucleolar RNA from Dromiciops gliroides (monito del monte), 289 nucleotides. The record is from RefSeq and is a predicted model, not a curated record. NCBI's taxonomy places the organism in Eukaryota, Metazoa, Chordata, Mammalia, Microbiotheria, Microbiotheriidae.